GGCAACCCGUCCCAAUGCCUGACUGCUCUUUCUGAGAAGAAAUGUCUCCUCAUUUCCAACCUGAACCUCCCCUGGCGCAACUUGAGGCCAUUCCCUCUAGUCCUAUCACUAGCUACCUGUGAGAAGAGGCCGACCCCCAGCUCCCCAAACCUUCCUUUCAGGUAGCUGUAGAGAGCAAUAAGGUCUCCCCGAGCCUCCUCGUCUCCAGACUAAACAACCCCAGUUCCCUGGGGAAUAAUAAGGCCCUGGCCCAGGCUAUGUGUUUGUUCUCAUCUCUCUCCAUGACCAAAUAGACACUAAAGGCUUGCCAAUGGAGAUUACACAUGCAAGCAAAAAUCUGAGGCUGUGGGAAGCUGCUCACAGCCCUCGUCCCAUUCAGGAUAACACAGCUCAAUUUUAACAAAUUUGGGGGAAUCAGGAGAGGUUAAGGUACAAGACAGGAGGACAUGUACAAUGCUAGUAACUGGCUUGAAGGACACACACACAAGCUUGUGUCUCAAAGCUCCCAGAUUAAAAUUUACUGCAUUUUCAGGUAUAUCAUUUUGUCACCCUCAAAGUAUCCUGCAUCCCUCCCCAAGCUCCCUGAUGACUCGAGGCCAAAGAAGAAUGUACAAAGAUCCCUUCUAUUUUCCAUAAUUUCAGGGAGGAUGGCCCUGGCUAGCCUCCGCGGAUUACUUACACUGACCUCCUGCUUCUGCACGUACCCACAACUGGCCAAGAUGCUGAAGACUCAAAGCUGGCUUCCAGUGGGGUCCAAGCAGCAGGAUUUGUGGGGACUUACAAGGUGUGAGCUUUGGCUCUGUUCUUCUGCCCUGCUGGCCACUAGCAUGCACGAAGGGCCGGUGAGCCCAGCUUUGCUGUCUACCAGCAAUAGCUAUUGCUGCCCCUCCAGCUUCUGAGGCUGCCAAGUCUUUAAUGACUCCAGUCUAGUGAGCAAACAGAGGAAGCUGUAUAAUACUGUCCUUGUGAUUUUUGGCUACAUUUUAAACGCCUGGCUAUAUGUUUUGGCUAUACAUUUUUAAUGCUUUCCUGACAUGUAAACAAAACCAUCUCCCUUUCCUUGUGUGAUUCUGGAUUCGAUCAAAGGCAUGUUACUUGCCAGCUUGGCUGCUAUGAAAAUUGACAUUGAUCUUCAGAGCAAAUAUUCACCAUGUUUGAGAACAAUGUUGCCUUUGUGCAUGUGAAAGCAAUCCCAUCUGGUACCGCACACCCAUGCUUCACUGAAAUGUUUACAGUGAACGCUAAGGUGAUCGGUGCAGCUGAUGGAUUAUUAAAUAUAACACAUGGAUGCAAGCAUUCAGCUGGCUUUUUGAUAAAUAGAGUAUGUUUCAGUCUCAGAGAGAACCAGGAACCACUUCUUAGCUUUCAGUAUCUAUCAUGCCAUGGUAAUUUGAAGGCAUCCAAAUGAAACUCAUGAGUUUUCUUCUUCCAUUUACAUAGCUUUGAAAAUCAGUCUGUCUGCAGAAUGGGCAGAUUCCCACUUUCCCAUCUGAGCUUUCUUGCAAGAAACUGAACAUCAACAUUGCUGCAAAGCAAGAUUGUGUCAUCCUUCGUGGGCUAUGAGAAUUGCUAAUCAGCAGCCAACAGAAGAAUAAGAAUUGGUCAGUAUUCUUGCCUUACCAUUGCCUGCUCUUCCCAAAAUACUCCUUUUUCUGUUUUCUUCCUUCCUAAAAACUGAACAACAAAAAAAAAGGAAUAUUGGCAUUAAAAACAAUUGCCUAUAAUUAACACAAAUGUCUUCACCACCUUACAAGAAUCCUGACCCUCUAGGAUUUUUUUUCCUCUGUCACAACUUCUAGGUAUCCUAGUGAUAUUCAGACAGCGUUCUACAGAGCACUUCACUGAUGUCCGUGAAGGGUCGCAAAGAAAAGCAAUCUUUUCUCUGUAGGCUUCACAUUACUAUGCAGGGGUCUGAAGAAGAUGAAAAUCACUGUUGUAUCUGUUGCGUCUCCCCUUCCAUCUCCACACCAGCCUGUUUCAUCCUUCCUCAUCAAAUCCCCUCCAGUGCUUCCUGGGCACACGCAGCACUCUGGUACAAGCAGAGCUAGCACAGAAAGCUGCGGCAGCUGUCCCAAAGCAUUUACCUAAUUUUCUAUGUUCAUGUCGCCCUGGCACUCCCUAUGGCAGGGAUCUUCACAGCAUACAGCAAAAACAACAUCAUGAGGAAAUGAAGGUAAGAACCCCAACACACAUUGAGUUGCAACAGAAUGUGGCAAUGCACAUUUUGUUAGGGAUUCAGAAAACUGAUUUGCUAAAGCUGCCCAAAAAAAGCUAGUUUUCUUUUUCCUCAUACACUCUUCCUUCUUUAUUCAUUCAAAAGAACAACAACAAAAAAAUGCUAACUCAUCCAAAGAAAUUCAUGUCAUUGUUUAAAAAUAAAAUAAAACUUACUUAAGAUCUUAAUGAAAUA
Anser brachyrhynchus (Pink-footed goose) is the source of this 2410-nucleotide long non-coding RNA. Lineage: Eukaryota; Metazoa; Chordata; Aves; Anseriformes; Anatidae. The record is from Ensembl.